UAUCGGAAGGUGCGGCUGGAUCACCUCCUUUU
This 32-nucleotide ribosomal RNA is filed under the name Xylella fastidiosa. RNAcentral's name for it is "partial 16S ribosomal RNA". Lineage: Bacteria; Pseudomonadati; Pseudomonadota; Gammaproteobacteria; Lysobacterales; Lysobacteraceae. The record is from RNAcentral.